AGGGGUUUAGCUUAAUUAAAGUAGUUGAUUCGCGUUCAGUUGAUGUAAGAUAGAUUCUUGCAACCCUUA
Molecule: transfer RNA, 69 nt
Filed under: Lepilemur mustelinus (weasel lemur)
Lineage: Eukaryota; Metazoa; Chordata; Mammalia; Primates; Lepilemuridae
Description: tRNA-Ala
Rfam family: tRNA
About the family: Transfer RNA (tRNA) molecules are approximately 80 nucleotides in length. Their secondary structure includes four short double-helical elements and three loops (D, anti-codon, and T loops).
Source: RNAcentral